GAUGAAGAACGUAGCGAAAUGCGAUAAGUAAUGCGAAUUGCAGAAUUCAGUGAAUCAUCGAAUCUUUGAACGCACAUUGCGCCCGCUAGUAUUCUGGCGGGCAUGCCUGUCUGAGCGUCAUUUCAACCCUCGCCCCCGGCUUUUGCUGGGAGCGGUGUUGGGGAUCGGCCGCCCGUCACUGGGAGGCCGGCCCCGAAAUAGAGUGGCGACCACGCCGUGUGCUCCUCUGCGUAGUAGUAAAUCACCUCGCAGGCGGACAGCGUUGCGGCCUGCCGUAAAACCCCCAACUCUUUCUGGUUGACCUCAGAUCAGGUAGGAAUACCCGCUGAACUUAAGCAUAUCAAUAAGCGGAGGA
This 355-nucleotide unclassified non-coding RNA is filed under the name soil metagenome. RNAcentral describes it as "partial contains 5.8S ribosomal RNA, internal transcribed spacer 2, and large subunit ribosomal RNA". The stretch from base 1 to 120 matches the Rfam family "5.8S ribosomal RNA", at positions 35 to 154 of the family's 154-position model. The record is from RNAcentral.